UUUUAGUUGACAAGUCCCAAAUAGGACGAAACACUCGUUCUGGAA
Molecule: non-coding RNA, 45 nt
Filed under: Schistosoma mattheei
Lineage: Eukaryota; Metazoa; Platyhelminthes; Trematoda; Strigeidida; Schistosomatidae
Source: RNAcentral